AGAGUUUGAUCCUGGCUCAGGACGAACGCUGGCGGCGUGCUUAACACAUGCAAGUCGAACGGUGAAGCAGAGCUUGCUCUGUGGAUCAGUGGCGAACGGGUGAGUAACACGUGAGUAACCUGCCCUUGACUCUGGGAUAAGCGUUGGAAACGACGUCUAAUACCGGAUACGACCUUCGGAGGCAUCUCCUGGGGGUGGAAAGAAUUUCGGUCAAGGAUGGACUCGCGGCCUAUCAGCUUGUUGGUGAGGUAAUGGCUCACCAAGGCGACGACGGGUAGCCGGCCUGAGAGGGUGACCGGCCACACUGGGACUGAGACACGGCCCAGACUCCUACGGGAGGCAGCAGUGGGGAAUAUUGCACAAUGGGCGCAAGCCUGAUGCAGCAACGCCGCGUGAGGGACGACGGCCUUCGGGUUGUAAACCUCUUUUAGUAGGGAAGAAGCGAAAGUGACGGUACCUGCAGAAAAGCACCGGCUAACUACGUG
Molecule: ribosomal RNA, 485 nt
Filed under: uncultured Leifsonia sp.
Lineage: Bacteria; Bacillati; Actinomycetota; Actinomycetes; Micrococcales; Microbacteriaceae
Description: bacterial SSU rRNA
Rfam family: Bacterial small subunit ribosomal RNA
Source: RNAcentral